ACCUGAUUUAUAAGUGAGCAUCUGAUAUUGUUGUGGAAUGGUAAUUUUCAACUUCGAUGGAUGGGCUAUAUUUGAUGUUUGCUUCUCAAGGUAAAAGUAAAACCAUAAUGGUCUACUGUUCCAUACUACUGCCAACGCCAUCACGAUAUGGGCAUCACACAUAUUACCGUUUUUGGACUGGCUUUACAGUUGAUUAAAGCAUCAAGUCUGCAAAAAAAAAAAAAAAUAGUAGCAAUUGCCGCAUCCUGAAUCUUUUGCUUGUUCCGUCCACACAUUUUUGUUAACAUUCUUUUCUUCUGGCAGUUGACUUGAUUAAUAUAAUGGUCGGUCCAAGCAAGCAAGUCCCCUUGCUUUAGAUUGUAACUCUUAAAGUAGCUUAUCUAUUAUUCUUGGAUAAUUUUGCACCUAACAGGAUAUUCUACUUGUGAAUGCACAUGAUCCGCAAUGUAUCACAACUAAGGAAGUUUGAAAGAGCUUAUGCAGUGGUUUGUUUUCACUUUUCAGUUUGCUGUCUGUCAUCAAAAUGACUAGUUAUAUUUGGGAGAGGGAAGUGUUUAGGAGUACAUACAAUUUCCAUACUUUCUAAAUUGUGAUUGGUUUGUGCACCCCUCGAUUCCAUGUGAUGUGAAAUGGGUCAUUUAAAAAAAUGAAUGUCAGGUUAUUGAAAUGUUAACAAGCAAAAGAUUAACAAAUGCAGAUGUUUCGAUUAUGGAAAAUCGGGGCAUUUCAAAAAUAAAUUUUGAUUAUUGAAAAAGGAAAUUAAUGACGGAAUCUAGUGUAACAUCGUAAUUGAUAGACUCCUUAAUCAUUUGCAUGUGAGAGUUGCGUAUAAGAUAAAAAAUAUCUUUAACACAGUCAUGAAGAAGAACAUGAUAGUACUGUUUUUAGGUUUGUAAUCUAAAACAAUGGUGUGUAUUAUGUAUGUAUGCUAUCUACAUUUCCUUAUAAUUAAAAAAGUUAAAAGAAGUUCUGGGGAUAGAUUGUGAUGUAUACGAAUCAAUUCGUGACAAAACAUUCAUGAAAUGUUGCAUCUUUUGAAGGGUUGUUUUUUUUUUUCUUUCACAAAAAGGCAUGCACCAAAAACAUGAAUGAUUCUUUAAAAGGAACAACCCUACAUGCAAAUGUGAAUAUGAUAUUCCUCUAGUUUAUACACUUAUAUCCAAUUCUUGUGUUCGUUUAUCCACAUAAUUAAGUAAACUAUUGCUCUGGACUACCUACAUUAGUACCAAAACAAAACUAUAAAUAGCAAUUUGAAGAGGAAAAACAUAUACUUAAAAGUUUGCAAAUCAAAACUCAUCAAUCAUUAGCCUGGUACACAAGAAAAGUUGGAUGAUCUCAUUUUCUCCAUCCCUUUGAUUGUUCUACUGAAAAUUGAAGUACCCAGUCAACAAUCACUCUAGCAGUUUAUGCAUUACUCUAAGUUAAACAAGCUGAGAUUAAAAAAAAACUAUUACUAUCACAAAACUGGUUUCAUAAUUAGCCACAUACAUACUCCCACCAUUUGUAAAUAGCAUAUCCAUAAAUUAAGCUGUAAGUAAUCACCCUCAGAGGAGACUUAGUAAACCUGUAUCAAAGAGAAGGAAGAUUCAAUUAACAUUCAUCAUUCAUCCAUGCAAACUAUCAAUCUCACCGUCAAUUCAAACGUGCAUUUACACACUAACAAAUUCAUCAAAAUCUAGUUAAAGAGUAGAAGUGAAAUAAAGAGAGAGGCACCUUGAAAAUCCAGAUCCAUGAGUAAACGCAGCUUCUGUUCUUUCCUCAACAGUAACAGGAUAAGGCCAACGUGAAAUAUCACGGUUAAAAUAAUCCCAAUCAGGUAAAAGAAGACAAGAAAUACCAACAAGACCCAACACAUAGGUAACCAUCAUCUUCUUGAAUGAGUGUGUGAAUACACCAACUGCCAGUAUAAUUACUGCUAGCCAAAGUAAACAGGCUCUUAGAGCUGCAUCAUUUGCCAUGAUUGUGAUGAGUUUGGUGAGACUUUGGGAUUAGAUUCAAUUAAAUUUGUUGAUGUUGUUAUUUUUGUUACUAGUUGUUAUGUUGAUGAAAAAAAUGAAUGAAGGGCCAUACAAAUGCCCUUACGACAGUGGUGAGGAGUGAGGCAGAGUUAAGAAAGACGCAUGAGCUUUAAAUGCUAACUCAACUGUCCCUUCUAUAAACUUUAAAUGUUCUAAUUUAAUGUCAUACUACCUCAUAGUUGUCAACUUAGAAUCGGGUUGGCGAGUGUUGUCUCCGUAUUUGCUCUCACCUUCUUCUAUGACAACGAUAAUGUGCAUAAAAAGAAAAUUUUAUUCAUACAAAACUCAAAAUGUUUGUUAUAUAUACUUCAAUGUACAUUAAUGAAAUAUGGUUAUGAAAGUUCUUUUGCACUAAUGAAAACGAGUUUGAAGGCAUAAAGAGUUAAGGUUUAUUAGGGAUGACAAUUCUAUUCAUACCGAUUGAGAAAAAGUAAGUGCGAGUUAAGAAUUUUGAAAAAUAAAGUGUGGAGAAGUUUCAUAUUGAUUAGAAAAGUGGAGAUUUUGAAUAUUUACAAGUGAGAAAACCUACACAUCAAAGUUUUGGAUGAGUACGUGGUGUUUCUCUCACAACGCGUGUUAUUCAUAAAGGAAGACCCCAAUGUAAAAAUGUUCCAUUUUUUUGAACCCCAGAAUUGAAACCCUAACAGUGCUAUCAUAAGCCUUUGGUUAGAGUGAGAAACCGACUUUCUUGGAUUGAAAGUACUCCCCAUAGGCGGUGGAUAGGAGAUGUCCCAUUGAGGAGUGUCAACGUUGGUACAAGUGUAUGUGGAUAAAAGAGCUUCCGCUAUAGGGGGAGUAUUGUGGAUAGACUCACACUUGAGAGGGAGUGUUGGAAAAAAAAUAAGUGUGAGUUAUGAACUUUGAGAAACAAAGUGUGGGUAAAUCCCGCAUUGAUUAGAAACGUGGAUUACUUGAGCAUUUAUAGGUGAGAGAACCCACACUUCUAUCACCUUAAGGUUUUGGGUGAGUAUUAUGGAGAUUUUAGCAUUUAUAAGUGAGAGAAUCCACACUCCUAUUACCUUAAGAUUUUGGGUGAGUACGUGGUGUGUUCCUCAUAAGACGUGUUGCUUAUAAAGAAAGGCCCAAAUGUAAAAGUGCUCUAUCAUGUUGAAUCCCCAAAUUGAAACCCCUACAAUAUCCAAUGGGUAUCAGCAAAAUUUAUCCACAACGGAUAGGAUAAAAAUACGUAAAAAUGGAUAUGGGCACGAAAAUGGGUAAAUUAUCCAUUAAAAUAAGAGGGUAUGGGUGCGGGUACUAGUACCUUAGUACCCACCCCGUCUCAUACCCGCACAACGUAUAUUUAUAUAUUUUAAUUAAUAUCAUCAUAUAAAAAAUAUAUGUCUAUAUCUUUUAAAAAAUACAUCACAAUUAAUAUAUUACACAUUUUAAUAUAAGUCUUAAUUUAUUUCAUAAUUCAAUAGUAAAAUCUUUGAAUUUUUUGUUAAUUUGGUUAAAAAAUUAAAAUGAUAUGAUAUUUUUCAAUUGAUAGAUUUAUUCUCAUUAGAACUGCGGGUAACGAGUACGAAUAAGGGUACUUUGGUAUCUAUAGGGUACGAGUACAAGUAUAAAGGUUGGUGUCCACAUGGAUAUGAGUUUGGGUACAAGGAUUUUUUUCAAACUGUGGAUAUGGGGAUGAGUAUUAUAAUACCCUACCCAUUGUCAUCCUACUUAUCACAUGUAUUCAAGAAAGAUAUAUAGGACAUCCUUCAAGUUACCUACCUAUUUACUGGUACUUUUAGUAAACAAUCACGAGUUUGAUUCACUUAAGAGAUUAAAAUAAAAAAAUAUCUCAAGGACAAUUUAUACAGAAAAAAUACAAUGAAAAAAAGUUUGUGAUUGGAACUUAAAUAUUUGAAUGUUGACAAACCGAACAUAAACUUUAAAUGAAAAAGUGUAGAAUUAAUUUGAGAAAAACAAAUAGACAAAAAGUAUAAUAAAUGUCACAAAAACAUAAUUAAUGAAUUCUUUUCUCAUCUCUCAACUCUAUUUAUUGCAAACAUCAUUUUUAUACAAAAGCACAUAUGCACUCAAAAAGGGCUCCCUAGGAGUACCUAUGACACUUUGGGUGCUAACACCUUCCUUCUGUGUAACCAACUCCCUUACCUGUAAUCUCUGGCAUUUUAUUAGUUUUGAUUUGAAAACUUCUUAUCUUUGGGGUUUGUUUGUACUUUUCCCUCGGAAACAAUAAAAGUGCGGUGGCGACUCUGAUUUUAUUGACGUUAAGUUUAUCUAUAACUUAAUGGUCAUGAAUUUACCGCUACAGAAAUUAAGUGGUGGCUCUGUUGGGGAGUAGUCCUCAGUGGGUUUAGCCUACUUUUUUAUGUGUAUAUAAUUGUAUAUCUGAUGUUUGUAUAUUUGUUUGUAUGAUAUAAUUGUAUACGUGCGUUUUCGACGCCAUGAGAUUUGGUGUAAGAAAUGAUGUUUUCGACAAAUGAUGACAUGGGUUGAAACGAUUUGAUUAGUAUGGUUCGACACUUCGACCAGAAGGAGGUUUCGUCNGACUUGGAAGCUAUGAAGCACUGACAAGGACAUCAGACACGUCGACACCGGUAAUAAUUUGAAAAAAUGAAUAAAUUCAACGUUAACACAAGUGUCGGUGUUCGACACUAAUAAAGACCCUUUUUUCAGAGGUGUCGGUGCUACGGAGCUUGGUAGUGAUGCAAGUUGUAUUAAUAGAGAGUUCAAUGGACAGAAAUGUUAGUAUUGCAUCGAAAAUUGUAAGUGUCAUUCAUUUUGCAACAUAUAUAUCAUGCAAAUGGAUUACUCAUUUUGGGAGAGACUAGUUGAUUUAAGGCACUUUUAAGAUGGAGAGGUAUCACAAAUGGUCUAUGGUGGAAUGGUUAAUUUGAAACUCUAACAACUGUUGUCGUUUAUAUGGUAUUAUUCUUCCUCACGAUUGAGACUGUCUAACCCAAUCGUUAUUGAUUUGGCAAAAAAAUAAGAAAACAAAUGUUAGUGUCUUGAAUUCCAACUUAUAUUACUUUUCUCUCGUAGUAUUUGUCAAAUCAAUGCUGGUUAGGUUACCGUUUUACUUGUAAGUAUGCGGAGUAUGUUGAACUUCCUACUUAAAGUUUUUAGCAAUAUCCAAACAUUGCUCCACUGAAGACUUCGUGACACACUUUUUUACCCUAGCAAUUGGUUGUAUUUAAUGGUAACUUGUAAGUACUCCUCUACAUUUGAUUAUUCAUUUAGAAACACUAUUUGAACUGCUGCUGUAUGUUUUUUUAAUCAGAACCUGUGUUGCUCCACUUGAAAGACUUAAGCUGGAAUAUAUGGUUCGUGGUGAGAAGAGGAAUAUCUUUGAGGUUAUUAAAUCAAUUGCUACUUCUCAAGGGUUGAGAGGUUUUUGGAAGGGGAACCUUCUUAAUAUUCUGCGAACGGCUCCGUUCAAAGCUGUUAAUUUUAGUGCGUAUGAUACUUAUCGAAAACAACUACUUAAAUUCUCUGGAAAUGAAGAAACUACCAAUUUUGAGAGGUUUAUUGCUGGUGCGGCUGCUGGGGUCACUGCUACUAUUAUUUGCCUGCCACUUGACACUGUAUGUGGUGGUAACUUGAAUCAUGAUUUAUUAGUUUAUUUUAUCUUGCCCAAUUGAAUAAACUUGAAUCUCUUAUUAUAAUUUUGCAUUUCAAUAGUAAAGCAGUCGCACACUGGCAUACAAACAUGACAAUUGGUCUUGGUGUGAAACUGUGAAAAAGUGAAAAAUCAACUGAACAUAUUUAGUUCUUAACUUUUUUUAGUUAAGGAAACAUUUGGAUUUUUGGUAAUUUCAGCGUGUACUUAGCAUCUGUCCUUCAAUAGUGCAUGAUGUUUCUUUCUAUGUCUUUCUUGUCGCGCCCUCUUAUAUUCAAUUAUGGUUCUCUGUUGUGCAUAAAAUGUCAGAUAAAAAGAUGAGUUUAAUAGGCAUAAGAUGUUUCAUAUAUGGACGUUCGACACAGCAGUGGGUCUGUGUGAUUAUGGGUCCCUAGGAAAUGUCAGGGUCAGGUUAGAAGCUGAAACGAGCAUAUCCAAAUAUGUUUCAUAUCCCCUUCAAAGUAAUUCCAUAAUGGCAUGUGUUCUAAAGUCUGAUUUAAUAUCGAGCAGUUAUUUGGUUCCUUCGACCAGUGUGAGAACCUGAAUCAUGUAUAUAAAAGUUAGUUUUUGUUGCUAAUUAAAACAAGUGCACACAUUCAGCUAUUUGCAGUACAAUCACUUUAAAAAUUUACUUUGUGCGCCUUAUAGAUUCGGACCAAGAUAGUGGCACCUGGCGGAGAAACUUUGGGUGGUGUAAUUGGUGCUUUCCAAUACAUGAUUCAAACUGAAGGCAUCUUUUCUCUAUACAAGGGUUUAGUACCAUCACUUAUAAGCAUGGCUCCAUCAAGUGCUGUUUUUUAUGGUGUAUACGAUAUGCUAAAAUCAUCUUAUUUGCAUUCACCCGAAGGAAUGCAAAGAAUCCAGAAUUUGCAUAAACAGGGUCAGGAACUGAGUGCCUUUGAUCAGCUUGAGUUGGGGCCAGUAAGGACAUUGUUGUAUGGGGCUAUUGCCGGUGCAUGUGCAGAAGCUGCUACAUAUCCAUUCGAAGUUGUGAGAAGGCAGCUUCAAUUGCAAGUCCAGUCUACUAAAUUAAGUUCUUUAGCAACAUUUGUCAAAAUAGUAGAACAAGGAGGCGUUUCAGCCCUCUAUGCCGGACUUGUUCCCAGCUUAUUACAGGUAUUAAAUUCUGAAUUUCUUGUCAUGCUCUAGUUACUUGUAUUUUAAUGGACUUACAUUUAUCAGUUUUGAAUACCUAUUUUCUGAGGACUCAGAACUAUUCUGUAGUAGUCCCCAAUCUGUUCAUAUUGAUUAUUCCUUGCUAAUAUUAUAACUAUUUAAAGUUUAUAAUGUAGAGAUUGUAGAUUAAGGUUCAUGUAGGGUGUUGUUUCGUUCUUAAAAUCUGAAUUCCAUUUACAUUUUACUGUGGUGAUCACAGGCUGCUGACUCUAUAUAGUCCUCUAAUUCUCCUUAACUCAGCAAUGCCUUGUUUAUGAAAUGUUUUGAUUAUUGCUAUAAGAUUAUUUUCCCCGUAAAAUUUCAUAAUAUCAAUUAUUUAUGCCAAAGCAAAAACCUUUUAUAUCAUGGAAAUGUAUAUACUUUAUAUAUGGUAGGGACCAUGAAAAUAAAUCUAUGCGGCUUUAUGGUUGUCUUCCUCUGGUCUAAAUCGAGAUCCUAUGCAAGAUCAGGAAGGGGUCACAAGAUUGUAAUCACAUAAUUGUAUCAUAUGGAUGGAUGUAAGAUUCUUCCAGUUUCACAAACCCAAACCCACAUAUAUAUGUAUAUAAGACAACAAUCAAGUAAAACAAUCAAUCAUGUAUAUGUAUAUAAAACAACAUCCAAGUAAAAAAGUUCAAAUCACAUCCAAAAUAUUUAAUGAAAUUCAAAUUAGGAUCAUAAGAUUCAUCACAUGAUGUCAUACAAAAUUCAUAAAAGCCACAAACAACAACACCAUGGAUAUAAAAUGUCAUAGGGAAAGAAUAUAAAUCAGAGCAGUGCAGAAAACAGAGGGAAAGUGUCAAAUGUCAACCAGGUUGCUGCUUAAGGGUAACACUUGCACCAGCCAGAAAGUUACUUCCUCGUAUGAGUCUAUGAGAUGGAAAGGGUCGCACCUGCAUGAUCAGAAGGCAGCAUGAAGCAAGCUGUAAUUUUCACCCCUACACGAGUUUUCCAGUUUGUAAAAGUGGUCUGGUGAGUUUUAACUUUUCCGAAUUGUUUAUCGGAUUACUUUGAAAAGUUUUCCGGAAAUUUGCCCGCGGCUUAUUCGUGAUGGAAGACAAAAUCAGAGCGCAAAACAGAGCAAUUCAAAUAUGAGAGGAAGUAAGGUAUGGGAACGAUUUCAUAAAAUGAAGGCUUAGUGACUUAGAAACUAACCGCAUCACCCUUUCAUUUGCUUAAAACAAGAUUUUUUAGGGUUAUUGAAUGCUAAUCUUUGUUUUAAGGAACCGGGUCGUGUACCCGGCCCAUGAGCAAUUGCUGUGCUUAUAACUUGUAAGCAAAAGUAAUCACCCAGCUUGCUUGCACAAUUCCACUGGCUCUAUGGCUCUGCACGUUGAUCCCAGCCGCUCCCACUAAUUAACAAUUCUUCGCAUGCACGAACAUGGCAAGACAUAGCAUUACCGCAGAAUAGCAUGAUUCUACGCGCUGACUCGGCGAUUUAACUCACAUGCUCAUGGUCCUUUAAGUUAUUUAAUUGUACCAUUUUAGUCCUUUAUAUUGUUUUCCUAACUAGGUCCUUUAACUCUCAAACAUGCACAUCGUCGACAUUUUUUGAGUUUGUGUCCAACUCCUUAAAAAAAUGCCUGCGUAGUUGUUAUGUUGUCUAAGGGCUUUGGUGGCUACUAAGUUAGAAUUUUGACUUUUAUUUACUAAAGAAGCCCAGUUUUGUAAUAGAAAAACCCUCCAUCAUCUUCAUUAUUUUCAUCAUUUGCCUGUACCCCUCUAACCUAACCAAUCUAAACCAUCCACCUUGAAAUCAAAACACUUCAUUAUUUGCCUGUACACCCUCAAGCAAAAAAGAACACAACAUGACCAACCAACCGGCAACCCAUAGUCAUUUCCGCCACAAACAUUUUUGGGAAGAUGAAUGAAAAUGAGUAUGAUUUUACAAUGAUUUUCACAGUGGAAAUUGGAGUGGGUUGGUGUGGCUUAUAAAAAAUUUCAGAGACUGGCGAGGUGGAAUGUUUCAUGACUGUGGCUGGGAAGGUUGGACUCACAGGACGCGAGGCUCCAAUCUCGGAGAGGCGGAGACAGACCUCCCCUUCUUCUCCAUAUUCUAUGCUUCUCUCUAAAGCUAUUGUUGCUGCCUUCACUUACUGUUCUGUAGUGGUUCUUUCUGUGUAAAAGAGGAUGAUAGUUAGUAAUGGAAGUUAAUGGUGAAUAGAUGGCGGGCUAUGGGUGAAGAUGAAACUCUCCUCUCACACUCUUUACCUCUCUGGAAUUUUUUUCUUCUCCUCUUCUCUCUCUCAAACUCAUCUUUUUUGUUUCUCUGUUUCUGUUUAUAGUAGGGGUAUUGUGAGGAGGAGUCAGAAACAGGUAAAAUUGAGAGGAAAAAAUGAUAAGCUAUAGAAGCUUUAAACUAUUUCAAGUAGCUUAUAAGAAAACCCUACAAAUUUGUAAAGAUAAGUUAUAAACUUGUGAGAAAAUGACAGUUACCAAACGAGUCUUUUUUGGUCGUACGAGCUUAUAAGGUAGCUAGCUUAUUGUGCUUGCCAAACAGGCCAUAAUUUGAUUUUUUAUCUAAUAAAACACAGGACUAGGAUAUGGUGUAGGAAUAAAUGUGUAGUCAAAUUAUCAGUCGCAUCAACAUCAUAACAGCCUCAUAGACAUGUUUUUAUUGGAUUUAGACAGAAACUCAAAAAAGGUCAACUGCGUGCUUGUUAUGAGAGUUAAGGACCUUCUCGAUAAAAAAACAAAAAAGACUCGUGUGGUACACUUAAACAACUUAAAGGACCACAUGAUGAAUUUUGCCUUUCAUUCAUUUGUGUAUUUCUGAUUUCAUACUGCUUAUGAUUGCUUUCUUCUUAACCAUAAAAGUUUAACAUUAUUUUUUAUUUCCCAUUCUCAGGUACUUCCUUCAGCAUCAAUUAGUUACUUUGUGUAUGAGUUCAUGAAGAUUGUUCUCAAAGUAGAGUGAGUAGGCAAUGAACAUAUGAGAUCUUCAGUUUUAUACGGAUAAGAAGCAGUAACCUGAUUUAUAAGUGAGCAUCUGAUAUUGUUGUGGAAUGGUAAUUUUCAACUUCGAUGGAUGGGCUAUAUUUGAUGUUUGCUUCUCAAGGUAAAAGUAAAACCAUAAUGGUCUACUGUUCCAUACUACUGCCAACGCCAUCACGAUAUGGGCAUCACACAUAUUACCGUUUUUGGACUGGCUUUACAGUUGAUUAAAGCAUCAAGUCUGCAAAAAAAAAAAAAAAUAGUAGCAAUUGCCGCAUCCUGAAUCUUUUGCUUGUUCCGUCCACACAUUUUUGUUAACAUUCUUUUCUUCUGGCAGUUGACUUGAUUAAUAUAAUGGUCGGUCCAAGCAAGCAAGUCCCCUUGCUUUAGAUUGUAACUCUUAAAGUAGCUUAUCUAUUAUUCUUGGAUAAUUUUGCACCUAACAGGAUAUUCUACUUGUGAAUGCACAUGAUCCGCAAUGUAUCACAACUAAGGAAGUUUGAAAGAGCUUAUGCAGUGGUUUGUUUUCAC
This 10209-nucleotide long non-coding RNA is filed under the name Lathyrus oleraceus (garden pea). RNAcentral describes it as "Pisum sativum (pea) long non-coding RNA (PSAT_LNC019402)". The record is from RNAcentral. Lineage: Eukaryota; Viridiplantae; Streptophyta; Magnoliopsida; Fabales; Fabaceae.